RNAcentral lists this ribosomal RNA (880 nucleotides) under Pediococcus pentosaceus. Its description in RNAcentral is "bacterial SSU rRNA". It matches the Rfam family "Bacterial small subunit ribosomal RNA", at positions 166 to 1032 of the family's 1533-position model. Lineage: Bacteria; Bacillati; Bacillota; Bacilli; Lactobacillales; Lactobacillaceae. The record is from RNAcentral.
AUACCGUAUAACAGAGAAAACCGCAUGGUUUUCUUUUAAAAGAUGGCUCUGCUAUCACUUCUGGAUGGACCCGCGGCGUAUUAGCUAGUUGGUGAGGUAAAGGCUCACCAAGGCAGUGAUACGUAGCCGACCUGAGAGGGUAAUCGGCCACAUUGGGACUGAGACACGGCCCAGACUCCUACGGGAGGCAGCAGUAGGGAAUCUUCCACAAUGGACGCAAGUCUGAUGGAGCAACGCCGCGUGAGUGAAGAAGGGUUUCGGCUCGUAAAGCUCUGUUGUUAAAGAAGAACGUGGGUAAGAGUAACUGUUUACCCAGUGACGGUAUUUAACCAGAAAGCCACGGCUAACUACGUGCCAGCAGCCGCGGUAAUACGUAGGUGGCAAGCGUUAUCCGGAUUUAUUGGGCGUAAAGCGAGCGCAGGCGGUCUUUUAAGUCUAAUGUGAAAGCCUUCGGCUCAACCGAAGAAGUGCAUUGGAAACUGGGAGACUUGAGUGCAGAAGAGGACAGUGGAACUCCAUGUGUAGCGGUGAAAUGCGUAGAUAUAUGGAAGAACACCAGUGGCGAAGGCGGCUGUCUGGUCUGCAACUGACGCUGAGGCUCGAAAGCAUGGGUAGCGAACAGGAUUAGAUACCCUGGUAGUCCAUGCCGUAAACGAUGAUUACUAAGUGUUGGAGGGUUUCCGCCCUUCAGUGCUGCAGCUAACGCAUUAAGUAAUCCGCCUGGGGAGUACGACCGCAAGGUUGAAACUCAAAAGAAUUGACGGGGGCCCGCACAAGCGGUGGAGCAUGUGGUUUAAUUCGAAGCUACGCGAAGAACCUUACCAGGUCUUGACAUCUUCUGACAGUCUAAGAGAUUAGAGGUUCCCUUCGGGGACAGAAU